GGAGAGAUGGCUCAGUGGGUAAAAGUACUUGCUUUGUAAGCAUGAGGACCUGGGUUCGAGUGCCCAGCACCA
This 72-nucleotide transfer RNA is filed under the name Rattus norvegicus (Norway rat). It matches the Rfam family "tRNA". From Rfam's summary of the family: Transfer RNA (tRNA) molecules are approximately 80 nucleotides in length. Their secondary structure includes four short double-helical elements and three loops (D, anti-codon, and T loops). Further hydrogen bonds mediate the characteristic L-shaped molecular structure. tRNAs have two regions of fundamental functional importance: the anti-codon, which is responsible for specific mRNA codon recognition, and the 3' end, to which the tRNAs corresponding amino acid is attached (by aminoacyl-tRNA synthetases). tRNAs cope with the degeneracy of the genetic code in two manners: having more than one tRNA (with a specific anti-codon) for a particular amino acid; and 'wobble' base-pairing, i.e. permitting non-standard base-pairing at the 3rd anti-codon position. The record is from Rfam by way of RNAcentral. Lineage: Eukaryota; Metazoa; Chordata; Mammalia; Rodentia; Muridae.